GCAAGUUGAGGGAGAAUUUCGGUGCUUGCACUGAGAGGGAACCGGCGAACGGGUGCGUAACACGUAUGCAACCUACCUAUAACAGGGGAAUAGCCCGAAGAAAUUCGGAUUAAUGCCCCAUAACAUUUUCGGAUCGCAUGAUUUGGAUUUUAAAGCUCCGGCGGUUAUAGAUGGGCAUGCGGCCUAUUAGCUAGUUGGUGAGGUAAUGGCUCACCAAGGCUACGAUAGGUAGGGGGUCUGAGAGGAUGAUC
This 251-nucleotide ribosomal RNA is filed under the name uncultured bacterium. RNAcentral's name for it is "partial 16S ribosomal RNA". It matches the Rfam family "Bacterial small subunit ribosomal RNA", at positions 57 to 305 of the family's 1533-position model. The record is from RNAcentral.